Long non-coding RNA from Arachis stenosperma, 1165 nucleotides. RefSeq lists it as uncharacterized. Lineage: Eukaryota; Viridiplantae; Streptophyta; Magnoliopsida; Fabales; Fabaceae. The record is from RefSeq and is a predicted model, not a curated record. The transcript is spliced from 4 exons.
CAAACAUGACUUAUCUUCAGUUAGAGAGAAUCUUGCUAAUAACAACCUACUAAAAAACAAACUCAAAUGAUGACUAAAAGAUCCACAAAUAUCUUAACCUCUUUAAGAGGUAAUAUUCUAUAAAUAUCAAACCCCAACUAUGUAAAAGGUACACUACUCAUUUUGAGUAACAUUAUACUUAUCUUCUACGCUUACUAACGUAAGCGUUGGAGUGCCUUUAUAGGUGUCUACCGCCACCGUUUCUCUUGAAACCGACCUAUACCUCUUCCACUUCAAGCAAAGGCAAGCUCAAUCCCUGAACAGGACGAGUUAUAAAUCAAACCUGACUUAUUACGCAGGAACAUUUGGUGCCCACCGUAGGGCCAAGUUUAUUUAACCCCACUAUCAUUUUUUCUGUCCGAUUACUUACCCUCUUUUACAGGUUUUAAUCAAUGACAAAAAAGUAAAAUAAUCCACCUCCUCAAAUCCCUACUAUAGCUGAAUUUUUAGUGAUCAAGGAAUCAUUGAAGGCAGAGAUUCGAAGGUUAACCGAGCUUUUGAAGCAAAACAAACAAGGAACUCUUACAUCCUGCCAAUACAUGUGGAUCGCCACCUAACAGAAGCCAGCCCCAACAAGCAUUGCAAUUGCUGCAAAUCCAAGGCCGUCGCUUUUAAUUUGUAACUAAUAAAGUUCAAAGAAAUAUGCCAGGUUCAUUUAGCUUACCGAGAGAAAAUCCACUUCCAUAUUGAUAAGCACCGUCAUGAAAGUGCAGUUGGAUCUCCCUGAUGGCUUGGUUUCCUCUGUCUGUUACAAGUAGGGAGCAACUACUUCCAACAAAAACCACAUCAAAGUCAUUAGAAAAUUUAGCUUCCUCACUUGGUCCAUCAACAUGGCCCCCUGCACGACUCCAUUUUCCUCCACCUGCAAUCGUUGUAACGCCUGAAACAAAAAUCAUAAUUCAAUGAAACAAAAGCCAAAUAUAAAACAGGGUCAGGAACAGUAUCUUCAAAAUUGUAUGAGACACUAACUGGAAUUCAAACUGGACUUGUUCAAGACACAAGAGGAUGGACACUCCAAGUUGAUUGAGCAGGGCAAGAAGCAUAUCUGUUAUUUUAUUUCCAAUGUAUCUUUUGAAAUACUACAUAUAAUGGAGCAUAGGUGAUGUAAUUUAUUUGGUUAUGCAAA